Molecule: ribosomal RNA, 499 nt
Filed under: enterobacterium dtb86
Lineage: Bacteria; Pseudomonadati; Pseudomonadota; Gammaproteobacteria; Enterobacterales; Enterobacteriaceae
Description: bacterial SSU rRNA
Rfam family: Bacterial small subunit ribosomal RNA
Source: RNAcentral
GAGUUUGAUCCUGGCUCAGAUUGAACGCUGGCGGCAGGCCUAACACAUGCAAGUCGAACGGUAGCGGGAAGAAGCUUGCUUCUUUGCCGACGAGUGGCGGACGGGUGAGUAAUGUCUGGGGAUCUGCCUGAUGGAGGGGGAUAACUACUGGAAACGGUGGCUAAUACCGCGUAACGUCGCAAGACCAAAGUGGGGGACCUUCGGGCCUCACGCCAUCAGAUGAACCCAGAUGGGAUUAGCUAGUAGGUGAGGUAAUGGCUCACCUAGGCGACGAUCUCUAGCUGGUCUGAGAGGAUGACCAGCCACACUGGAACUGAGACACGGUCCAGACUCCUACGGGAGGCAGCAGUGGGGAAUAUUGCACAAUGGGCGCAAGCCUGAUGCAGCCAUGCCGCGUGUGUGAAGAAGGCCUUCGGGUUGUAAAGCACUUUCAGCGAGGAGGAAGGGUUGGAUGUUAAUAGCAUUCAGCAUUGACGUUACUCGCAGAAGAAGCACCGGC